GAAAAAUCGUUGAGCAAGAGGAGUACACCUAUUGUUUUCUUUCUAGAGAGUCGGGGAUGGUGUGAACCCGAUAAGAAAAGAUUGGUGGAAUGGACUUGCGAGAGGUUUCUUGAACCUAUAGUAGGGAAACCCGGAGUUCCACCGUUAAAAGGAUAGGAUAUCGGACCAUUGGUGUCCCGUAUCUGAAAGAGGAGGCAGGUUUUUUUCUGCUUCAAACAGAGGUGGCACCACGGUUGGAAAAUCGUCCUCUAU
RNAcentral lists this non-coding RNA (252 nucleotides) under Bacillus sp. (in: firmicutes). RNAcentral's name for it is "Bacillus sp. T-box sequence". It matches the Rfam family "T-box leader". Rfam says of the family: Uncharged tRNA acts as the effector for transcription antitermination of genes in the T-box leader family. T-boxes are found upstream of many aminoacyl-tRNA synthetase genes and some amino acid biosynthetic genes usually in Gram-positive bacteria. The record is from RNAcentral. Lineage: Bacteria; Bacillati; Bacillota; Bacilli; Caryophanales; Bacillaceae. RNAcentral also lists the same sequence under 1 other name.